This is a non-coding RNA of Cyanistes caeruleus (blue tit), 550 nucleotides long. The record is from RefSeq and is a predicted model, not a curated record. NCBI's taxonomy places the organism in Eukaryota, Metazoa, Chordata, Aves, Passeriformes, Paridae.
CCAGAGCCAUGCAGCCUAAUCCAGCAGCUCUGGGGAGAUGAGAGAUCUGGUUACAGUGUGCUUGUGUCUGAGGCCCAGAUGCAGGGAAAUGUGUCUUUAACCGAGGAUGAAGUGCCAUCAUCACACUCUGCUCUUUCCCACUGUAACCUGCUGCUGUCACACUGGCACUGAUGCUCCCGUCCCUUGGUGGAACUUGUCUCCCUGAUUGCUGAUCUGCCUCUCCAGCACCACCAAACCAAUGGAAGUCACUCCACUGCAACCCCCAAGGCCAGUUUUGCUCACCAUACAGGGAGAUAUCAGUGCUCAGGAUUCAGGGACCAUCCUGCCCCUGUUGCAGCAGCAGGAAGAUGAAGCAGUUUGGAAGAAAUCUGUCGGAAAGACACGGCUCUAAUCCCUCUCUUGGAGGUCCUGAUCCUCCUGACACCCAGUGCCACCACCCCUCAUCCCCCUCCUCACCACGGGGGUCUCACCUGGAGCGAGAUGGACACCACAAGGCUCUUGAGGGAAGCAAAGGAACUUGUUAAAGCCUCUUGUUUCCCUCUCCUUUUCA